This 253-nucleotide ribosomal RNA is filed under the name uncultured bacterium. Its description in RNAcentral is "partial 16S ribosomal RNA". It matches the Rfam family "Bacterial small subunit ribosomal RNA", at positions 524 to 776 of the family's 1533-position model. The record is from RNAcentral.
UACGAAGGGGGCUAGCGUUGCUCGGAAUUACUGGGCGUAAAGGGCGCGUAGGCGGACAGUUAAGUUGGGGGUGAAAGCCCGGGGCUCAACCUCGGAAUUGCCUUCAAUACUGGCUGUCUUGAGUAUGGGAGAGGUGAGUGGAACUCCGAGUGUAGAGGUGAAAUUCGUAGAUAUUCGGAAGAACACCAGUGGCGAAGGCGACUCACUGGCCCAUUACUGACGCUGAGGCGCGAAAGCGUGGGGAGCAAACAGG